This 816-nucleotide ribosomal RNA is filed under the name uncultured bacterium. RNAcentral describes it as "bacterial SSU rRNA". It matches the Rfam family "Bacterial small subunit ribosomal RNA", at positions 8 to 796 of the family's 1533-position model. The record is from RNAcentral.
AGAGUUUGAUCAUGGCUCAGAAUGAACGCUGGCGGCGUGCUUAACACAUGCAAGUCGCACGAGAACGCUUCAGCUUGCUGAAGCUAGUAAAGUGGCGUACGGGUGAGUAACGCGUGGGUAAUCAACCUCUGAAUUGGGGAUAACAUUGCGAAAGCGAUGCUAAUACCGGAUAAUAUCCAUUGAACCUUGGUUUUUUGGAUCAAAGGUGGCCUCUACAUGUAAGCUACUGUUUGGAGACGAGCCCGCGUACCAUUAGCUUGUUGGUAGGGUAAUGGCCUACCAAGGCAACGAUGGUUAGCUGGUCUGAGAGGAUGAUCAGCCACACUGGAACUGACACACGGUCCAGACUCCUACGGGAGGCAGCAGUGAGGAAUUUUGCGCAAUGGGGGAAACCCUGACGCAGCAACGCCGCGUGAGUGAUGAAGGCUUUCGGGUCGUAAAGCUCUGUCAAGUGGGAAGAACCCGUGCCGCACAAAUAGUGCGGUGCGCUGACGGUACCACUGAAGGAAGCACCGGCUAACUCCGUGCCAGCAGCCGCGGUAAUACGGGGGGUGCAAGCGUUAUUCGGAAUCAUUGGGCGUAAAGAGCGCGUAGGCGGUCUUCUAUGUCAGGUGUGAAAGCCCUGGGCUCAACCCGGGAAGUGCACUUGAAACUGGGAGACUUGAGUAUGGGAGAGGGAAGUGGAAUUCCUGGUGUAGCGGUGAAAUGCGUAGAUAUCAGGAGGAACACCGGUGGCGAAGGCGACUUCCUGGACCAAUACUGACGCUGAGGCGCGAAGGCGUGGGGAGCAAACAGGAUUAGAUACCCUAGUAGUCC